This 484-nucleotide ribosomal RNA is filed under the name uncultured bacterium. Its description in RNAcentral is "partial 16S ribosomal RNA". It matches the Rfam family "Bacterial small subunit ribosomal RNA", at positions 30 to 507 of the family's 1533-position model. The record is from RNAcentral.
AUUGAACGCUAGCGGGAUGCCUUACACAUGCAAGUCGAACGGCAGCACGGACUUCGGUCUGGUGGCGAGUGGCGAACGGGUGAGUAAUGUAUCGGAACGUGCCCAGUAGCGGGGGAUAACUACGCGAAAGCGUAGCUAAUACCGCAUACGCCCUACGGGGGAAAGAGGGGGAUCGAAAGACCUUGCCCUUUUGGAGCGGCCGAUAUCGGAUUAGCUAGUUGGUGGGGUAACGGCUCACCAAGGCGACGAUCCGUAGCUGGUUUGAGAGGACGACCAGCCACACUGGGACUGAGACACGGCCCAGACUCCUACGGGAGGCAGCAGUGGGGAAUUUUGGACAAUGGGGGAAACCCUGAUCCAGCCAUCCCGCGUGUGCGAUGAAGGCCUUCGGGUUGUAAAGCACUUUUGGCAGGAAAGAAACGUCGCGGGUUAAUACCUCGCGAAACUGACGGUACCUGCAGAAUAAGCACCGGCUAACUACGUG